RNAcentral lists this long non-coding RNA (258 nucleotides) under Olea europaea (common olive). Its description in RNAcentral is "long non-coding RNA (OEUR_LNC014471)". The record is from RNAcentral. Lineage: Eukaryota; Viridiplantae; Streptophyta; Magnoliopsida; Lamiales; Oleaceae.
UUCACUUGUUGAUGUGUGAACUUGUGAUAGUGAAAUUAAUCCAAACUACGAGAGGGUGAGAACUAAAGCUAAGUAAACUCAUAAUUUUUAAACACAACCCGGGAUAAUUGAGUGAAAAGAAUAAGUUUGGGGGGUUGUGUAUCUCUCGAGCGAGUAAGGAGACAUUUGACCACUUGGAGUCGGGACUCAAACUCAUCAUGAACUUGAUAUGUUAGCAUGAAUCCACACAUACACACGUCAAGUAUGCAUUUAACAGGU